UACGUAGGGUGCAAGCGUUGUCCGGAAUUAUUGGGCGUAAAGAGCUCGUAGGCGGCCAACUAAGUCGGACGUGAAAUCCCUCAGCUUAACUGGGGAACUGCGUCCGAUACUGGAUGGCUUGGAUUUGGGAGAGGGAUGCGGAAUUCCAGGUGUAGCGGUGAAAUGCGUAGAUAUCUGGAGGAACACCGGUGGCGAAGGCGGCAUCCUGGACCAAUAUUGACGCUGAGGAGCGAAAGCUAGGGGAGCAAACGGG
Molecule: ribosomal RNA, 253 nt
Filed under: uncultured bacterium
Lineage: Bacteria
Description: partial 16S ribosomal RNA
Rfam family: Bacterial small subunit ribosomal RNA
Source: RNAcentral